GAGAGAUGCACGAGGUUAGCUGAACCAAAGUGAGAGACUCGGCUAGUUUUACUGAGGUUAACUAGCACAAAAGAGUGUGUAACUAGAAAGCUAACCGUGUGGGAGCUUCGCAACAGAGUGUGGGUGAAGUGACUUUUUGUUUCAACGGUCGCACCACCGUGGAAAACUGUGUUUCCAGCUACGAUCGCCGAGGCUAAAGGCUAGCCCGGACUGCUUGGCUGCACCACGGAGGCAGCCGCUAUGGACUGUCGGAGAGCUGGACAGUGACGGGCUAACGUGCUGUAGCAGAGACAGCAACGGGUCCGCAGGGAGUGGAUUUAGUGUGGGACUGGUGAACGGCGACCUACCGAGCAACGGAACUGUAAGUCAGACUUUUGUGCUCUUACUGGGGAGAAGAGGAUUUUUCUCCAUCGUCCAGCGUGAGCAGCAAACAGGCCUGCAACAAGUGUGAAUUCUUUAUCAUGCUCCUGUGACACAACCAUUUAUCUUCUGGGAUCAAUAAGCUCUUCACAGUGCGCCGUUUCCUGAGACAAGGCUUUGAAGUGGAUGAGGGAGGUGAGACACCAUGCGCCCAGAUGCCCAGCCGCUGUGGUUAAAGGGUCUUUAUCACGCAGACAAGGGGGACAGCACUCAGCUCUUGCCCUUCUAUCUUUCACCGCGGCAGAAGAGUGAUUUUGACAACCAGCGCUCCCCAGCUGCGCAGGGGCCAGGCCUGCAAAACCACAGGCGGAUAAUGAAUGCCACACCAUCGUGACAACUUGCACUUUUAUGGAAAGGGGAGGAAGGACACUUGUGCUCACAGCGUAUGAUGGGACGUCCUCCAUAAACCAGACAAUCAAAGCGAGGGCAGAUAAGCAUCUGUGGAAUCUGUGACGGGAACCUCCGCUGAUUUAUGGGCACUACUGGAAAAGGUUUCAGACGCAUUGCCUCACCCAAAGCCUGAGGCUAAGCUGCAAUGAGUUGGAAUGAGACCAGAUGAGAGGGAGGAAUGAACUACUGGGACAACUCCUCCACUUCAAAAAGCCUCUCCACUUUUACUUCAGGGGAUUUUGGCUGAGGUUAUGCCACAUGACCUGUUUCUAAUAACAUUUCUUUCUUUUUGCCUUUCUGUAAAACAUGCCACACUGGAGUGGAGUCAUUAAUCUUGUUAAAUCUUUCAUACUAAUAUCUGUUGAGCUGCUUUGACUGCUAAAGUCGCUUGAAAUGAGUCUGAAUCGCUAAUUCACUCCAGUGCCAUUUCAUUUCAUUUCAGCAGUGGCAGAUUUGGACUGCUCUGUGCACAAGAAUAUUUAAAAAAAAAUAUGUGGGCACAGCUACAGCAGGCUAUAUUCAUGCUGUAACCCCAAUCCAUUCAAGUUCACAACACACUGGCUGGAAAUCCCCACCUCAUGACUGAGCUUCCUGGUUACUGGCUGGUGGAGGCGCCUUUUUUUCUUCUUCUUCUCCUCUCCCUCUCUCAUUCUUUUCUUUAAACAUUAACAAGCCAGGAAAAUAUUAUCUAAUCAUAACUAAAAGGCUAACUGUGUACAUCCUGAAUUCACCCUGGUGAGCUGGCAAAAAUAAAAGAGAGAAAAUGCGGGCUGUAAAGUCGCUCCAAUAAGCCUGUAAAUUGUGCCCAUGUGCUACAAUAACACAUUUUUGAGAUCCUCUGUAUAAAUAUAAGAUCUGCCAUUGGAUUACAAUCGCUGUUUUUCUCAGGGUCGACCCACCUCAUUCAGUGCACAGUAGUAGUAGCAGCAGCUCACUGCGUCGAGGCGCGGUGCAUUGAGAAAAACAAGCUGCAGCCUGAACCGGAUAAUGCUCUGAAUUUAGGACAAAGCAGCAACCGGAGGAGCUUGAAAGUCGCUUUUUUUUUUAUUAUCCCCUGGCGGUCUGUUGCUAACCUACAGCCAUAUUUCUUUUAGCAGCGUGCAGGCUGGUACCGGUGGACCUAUUUUUUUGCAGGUUUGAUGAUAAUAAUAACAGUAGCGCGGGUUAUUCCGGAGUCGGAGGCGGUGGUGAAGCUGAACUGGGUGCCUUUUUUGUUGGCAGAAGCUCAGGUGAUUAAGUUAAAAUAUUAAAAAAGAGAGAGAGAGAGAGAAAAGCGGUGAGUGACAAGAGGCUGC
Long non-coding RNA from Oreochromis aureus, 2105 nucleotides. The record is from Ensembl. Lineage: Eukaryota; Metazoa; Chordata; Actinopteri; Cichliformes; Cichlidae.